Molecule: long non-coding RNA, 2769 nt
Organism: Bombus pyrosoma
Lineage: Eukaryota; Metazoa; Arthropoda; Insecta; Hymenoptera; Apidae
Exons: 5
Source: RefSeq, a predicted model, not a curated record
UGUCGUCGGUAAGAAAUAAGAAUCUCGUUUGCGCGCGAAGAGUGUUGCGUCUUUAAAUGUAUCAUUUAUCGUCAGCAAACGAACUCGAUGAUCUAUCGAACGCCAUCGAGAUCAACUUCGAUUAGUAUCGCAGCAAAUUUUGUUAAUAUGGCGUGUAGAAUAAAAUGUCAAUAACGUAGUAGAUUUAACAAAAUCACACGAUACGAGAAAGAUGGAUUUUUCGAUAAUAUCAUAAAUGUAGUUUAUUAAUAAAUCAAAUGUAAUUACGUGAAGCCGAUGUGAAGUAACCUGUGCAGUUAAUAAUGUUUGCCUGAAUCGCUCAAUUAAUUAAAUAUGGAAAUAUGGAAAACACUGGAAACCUAAAAAAAGAGCAAACGACUUAAAAGUAUACGAGUAAAUUUAUUUCUUUAUAUCAUCGACCAACGAUCUCUUCAUGGAGAGAUUAUUUCUAUCAUCAUAAGGAACAAUUCACGGACGAAUAUUACGCAGUUAUCAAAAUUGGAGUUUCCAGGUGUAAUCUACAGAGUCAAAUAAAAAAUUAAAAACCCAUUUCUGCGUCGGUAGCUUUCAAGGAUAGAAGAUGCAUAUUCUCGCGAUGCAAACACGUGUUUGUCAAUUUGCUUGGAAUGCGAGGAAGGUGUCCGAGGAUGGCAAUUAAGAGAUAAAAGAAAACGAUAAAAAUCAAUCAGAGGUCACCGAUUCGAGAUCACAAAUACGCAAUAAGUAGCAGUUCGAAGGGUCUCGGUGUGGGCUGAAAAAACCGGUUUCAGGUAAUGAUGGACUACCUACUUGCAGCCCAGUCAGGCAGAUUAUAAUGAACUUUUUUGGUGUAAAUAACUAGUGAUGGGCUUAAGUACGUCGCAAGUAGGGUGGAACAUUAAUCGACUAGAUUCGAGCUCUCUAGAAGUAAACAUUUAUCUGAUUCGGAUUUAUAAUAUACGUAUUCCACUUGAUCCCAUCACUAUCAAUAAGCUGGUUGCAGAUUUUUCAACCAAAAUCUUCGUUCGUUUAUCGACCCUGUGACUAAGGAACUCGGAUCUAAAGCAACAAAAAAUUAAUUAUCCAAUGAAUUUGCAACUUUACACGCGUAUCCUAUAUACAUUCCUUUACCUUGGAGUUAUUGGAGUUAUAGUCUCUAUUAUAAUUUUAUUUACGGUAAUACAUUCAAAUUGGAAUGCGCAUCCAACUUCGAUAUUCUACCCUUCGUGUUUCGUGAUUUAGUUGUAUUUCUGUUAACAAUUCGAUAGACGAAAAUUAUAUAAAUUCGAAGUCAUGGUAAAUCUUUCUUUUUGUUGAAGAGAAAAUUUGGAGAUAAUCAUGGCUAACAUAUACGGGAUGAACUUAUCAAUAGUUUACAUACACUUUAAAGCUUUCUUGUUUAGUAAUUUUCUUCUUUUCAUAGCAUUUAUGGUUCAAAGAUAAAUAAACGUAUUUAUAAAAUUAUAGAAUGCUUGAGAAAUUUGUAAAAAAUUGUCUUAAAAAAGUUAGAACUUUUUAAAAACCGUCGUAAAACCUUAAUUUGAGAACUAAGUCUCUCUAAUUGACCUGACGAGUUGAUUUAAUUGACCGCGAUAUCAAGGGCCCGAAAGCAUCAGAGGCAGCUACUUGUAUUUUGUUUUUGAAUCUCGAUCUCGAUUCACGUUGACGUUCAGAUUGCAGAUGAUACUUGUAAUAAAUUUCGCGGCAUUAUGUUUGGCCUGAUCGUAAAACGUGGAAUGUAAACGAGGGCGAAUGGCGGAUUAAACGCGAGGAACCAAAUCUGACCAACAUUGUGAUAUUAUUCGCCGGCUGAUCGUAAAGAAUGGAAUGUAAAGAAAGAACUUGUCCUCUAGUGACCUGAGAACUUGGCCAACAGACGGUUUCGAAAGAUGUACGCACGAUAUCUAUGCUUUUUAUGUAUCUCGGCAGAAGUUUGGAAUUAAUGAUUCUUUUAAUACCUUAGUUCCUGAUACAUUUUAAGUUGAUAAAAGAUUGCUUCCGAGAAUAAUCGUUGGUUAGUUCCUUUUAGAGUUAUUUGAGAAAUUAAAUAUCGACGAUUUUUUAAAGGUUUACAGAAAAAAGUGUUUUCAUUGUACUAUAAGUUAGAGAAUUAUUAGUUUACUUCAAUAAAGCAUAUCUCUCUAACAAUGAUAGUAAGUAUCUUUCUAAUUGUGUUUAGUGAUUUCAAUUGCGUUCAAAAUUAUGAAAGUAUACGAUAUAAACUUGAUACAAAUUGGAACACUACAUAUCUAUAUGGCAACUGAACAUUUUCAAUUUAUGCAGGCCAACAGUAUUCAAGCGCACUCUACCUAGAUACCAUUUAAACUACAGACGAAGUACAAACAUUGACCCGUAUACUUUUCUUUGCGCGUUGACAAAUUUGAACGGAAUAUAACUGAAACAGUCGAUACGUAUUUAUAAUUGACCCCUCGUCGUUGACUGUAUCGUGUACGUAUAUACACACGUAGAUAUUUGCCGUCCAAAAGGUUCUUCGGCUUAGUGUUCCUUUAGCCGAUAACGUAGUUUGCAUUAAAAAUUCGCACUUGCCAUUGGAUAAAUGAAAACUUCAAAAUACCAGUUUUGAUGUAAUUUCAUGGGUACGUCAGAUUUUUUGGAACAUUUAUUUACCAGUAAAAUUUUAGGCUGACUUACUUUCGUUCGUGUAAGGAGGUUUGCUGGCGCAUAGGGAUAUUUCAGUUAAUCUUUAAUUCUCAAUAACUAAUAAACAAAGCCGAUUCUUGAUUUUCGUUUUAUUUUAGCUUCAAGGAUCAUCCCUUAAAUUUUUUACAG